UCCGCAGCGGCACAGGGCUCCAGCUAUAAACACGCCCUCCUGUUGACGUUUCUCCUUGUACUCUCUCACUUUUCUCAUUCCUCACAAAUGCUUCCUGCAGUAACCCUCUGGAUGAGCUACCUUCCUCCGGGACCUUGUUCCAAGAUCUCUUUGCAGGAAAAUCCAAGGCAAGAUGCACGGAGCAGUGGUUUGGAAGGGCAAACGAGCUCUGUGUGUCAGAGCGCGGAAGGGGAGAAACAGACGUUGCGACCCAGUGUGUUGAGCUCAGCCUGAAAGAAGGCCGAGGAUGCAUGGCCACCAGAAGUCACAAAAACAGCAUGGAGUGGACCCUUCCCUAGGGUGUUCAGGAGGAGCAUGACCCUUGAGUUUGAACUUCUGACCUUCAGAACUGCUCCGCAGACUGCAGGCUCCUCUCUCCAUGACACUCCUGUAUCAUGAACCUGCUGAACAAAGCUCCCUCCUACAGAAGACAGGCCAGGCUCACUCCCCAUCCAGCCUGGGUGUCCUGCCGUCACCCCUUCCUAGCACGCCUGCCUCGCCCAUCCUCUGAAAGCAGAUGUGAUGUAUGGAGUGCUGACCCCUCGUGUCACUCAAUCCAUCAGCACCUCUGUGAAAUGUGACCUCGUUUGAUAGAUGAGGCUGUAUUGGAGCUUUGCUGGUGGCUCAGCUGGUAAAGCAUCUGCCCCC
Long non-coding RNA from Odocoileus virginianus texanus, 687 nucleotides. RefSeq lists it as uncharacterized. The record is from RefSeq and is a predicted model, not a curated record. Lineage: Eukaryota; Metazoa; Chordata; Mammalia; Artiodactyla; Cervidae.